CCCGCACAAGCGGUGGAGCAUGUGGUUUAAUUCGAUGAUACGCGAGGAACCUUACCUGGGCUCAAAUGUAUGUUGACGUAUUCUGAAAGGGAUACUUCUUCGGACAAUAUACAAGGUGCUGCAUGGUUGUCGUCAGCUCGUGCCGUGAGGUGUCGGGUUAAGUCCCAUAACGAGCGCAACCCCUAUCAUUAGUUGCCAUCAGGUCAAGCUGGGGACUCUAAUGAAACUGCCUACGCAAGUAGUGAGGAAGGUGGGGAUGACGUCAAAUCAGCACGGCCCUUACGUCCAGGGCUACACACGUGCUACAAUGGCCGAUACAGAGGGCAGCUACCUGGUGACAGGAUGCAAAUCUCCAAAGUCGGUCUCAGUUCGGAUCGGAGUCUGCAACCCGACUCCGUGAAGUUGGAUUCGCUAGUAAUCGCGCAUCAGCCAUGGCGCGGUGAAUACGUUCCCGGGCCUU
This 460-nucleotide ribosomal RNA is filed under the name uncultured Sphingobacteriales bacterium. RNAcentral's name for it is "bacterial SSU rRNA". It matches the Rfam family "Bacterial small subunit ribosomal RNA", at positions 920 to 1382 of the family's 1533-position model. The record is from RNAcentral. Lineage: Bacteria; Pseudomonadati; Bacteroidota; Sphingobacteriia; Sphingobacteriales.